This 497-nucleotide ribosomal RNA is filed under the name uncultured bacterium. Its description in RNAcentral is "partial 16S ribosomal RNA". It matches the Rfam family "Bacterial small subunit ribosomal RNA", at positions 28 to 507 of the family's 1533-position model. The record is from RNAcentral.
GAUGAACGCUGGCGGCGUGCCUAAUACAUGCAAGUCGAGCGAACAGACGAGGAGCUUGCUCCUCUGACGUUAGCGGCGGACGGGUGAGUAACACGUGGAUAACCUACCUAUAAGACUGGGAUAACUUCGGGAAACCGGAGCUAAUACCGGAUAAUAUAUUGAACCGCAUGGUUCAAUAGUGAAAGACGGUUUUGCUGUCACUUAUAGAUGGAUCCGCGCCGCAUUAGCUAGUUGGUAAGGUAACGGCUUACCAAGGCAACGAUGCGUAGCCGACCUGAGAGAGUGAUAGGCCACACUGGAACUGAGACACGGUCCAGACUCCUACGGGAGGCAGCAGUAGGGAAUCUUACGCAAUGGGCGAAAGCUUGACGGAGCAACGCCGCGUGAGUGAUGAAGGUCUUCGGAUCGUAAAACUCUGUUAUUAGGGAAGAACAAAUGUGUAAGUAACUAUGCACGUCUUGACGGUACCUAAUCAGAAAGCCACGGCUAACUACGUG